GCCUACGGGGGGCAGCAGUCGAGAAUUUUUCACAAUGGGCGCAAGCCUGAUGGAGCGACGCCGCGUGGGGGAUGAAUGGCUUCGGCCCGUAAACCCCUGUCAUUUGCGAUCAAACCUUGCUAUUUAAAAGAUGGCGAGCUGAUAGUAGCGAAAGAGGAAGGGACGGCUAACUCUGUGCCAGCAGCCGCGGUAAUACAGAGGUCCCAAGCGUUGUUCGGAUUCACUGGGCGUAAAGGGUGCGUAGGUGGUGAGGUAAGUCGGAUGUGAAAUCUCCGAGCUCAACUCGGAAAAUGCAUUGGAAACUACCUUGCUCGAGGAUUGGAGGGGGGACUGGAAUACUUGGUGUAGCAGUGAAAUGCGUAGAUAUCAAGUAGAACACCAGUGGCGAAGGCGAGUCCCUGGACAAUACCUGACACUGAGGCACGAAAGCUAGGGGAGCAAACAGGAUUAGAUACCCCGGU
RNAcentral lists this ribosomal RNA (461 nucleotides) under uncultured bacterium. Its description in RNAcentral is "bacterial SSU rRNA". It matches the Rfam family "Bacterial small subunit ribosomal RNA", at positions 337 to 791 of the family's 1533-position model. The record is from RNAcentral.